This is a long non-coding RNA of Larimichthys crocea (large yellow croaker), 331 nucleotides long. RefSeq lists it as uncharacterized. Lineage: Eukaryota; Metazoa; Chordata; Actinopteri; Sciaenidae. The transcript is spliced from 3 exons. The record is from RefSeq and is a predicted model, not a curated record.
UAGCACCAUCUGCUUCACUGUCAAGACCACCUGCUGACACCAAAAGGAAACUGUACGAGCCACAGAGUAAUGUAGUCCCCCCCAGGCCUACAGUGAAGAAAUCUGUGCCCCUUCCACCUGAGCUGCAGUUUCUGGCGAAAGAGCUUGCUAUUCCCCAGCAAACCGAAGGGACUGUCUCAGCACCAGGAACCCUGCCACCUUCUGAGACCUCCUCUUCUGCUCAUACACCUGAACCACCACACAGUAAGAACUGUUUUCUUAAGUGUUACUGUGCCUCAGAAUAGUCUAUAUCAGACAGUCUAUAAUAAGGAGAAUAAAACUUAUAAAUCCC